GGCUCAAAAGCUCCAUAGCAAAAUUUUGAUCUAAGGAUGAAGAAAAAAGAAAGUCAAAAAAAGCAAAAACUUAAAAAUAACAUUUUAUAAUUGGUAGAUUUGGGGUGAAUUCGAUUUAGAAAGGAAGUGUUCCUUACAAAUAGAAAUCAAGAAUCAAACCCGAUUCUUUCGCUAUAUUUGAAGUCAGCCCUAGGCCAGAUCCAACUAUGGCACUGAGCAAAGCUGAAAAACUACCCCAAGAAAUCAUAGUUGACAUACUAUCCCGGCUUCCUGCAAAAUCCAUAGGUCAAUUCAGGUGUAUAUCAAAGCAGUGGUGCUCCCUUCUAUCAGACCCCCAAUUCAUCUCAGCUCACCUCACUAUAAAUUACCACAAAGAAGAGAAAAUUCUCUUCUAUCAGACCCCCAAUUCAUCUCAGCUCACCUCACUAUAAAUUCCCACAAAAGAGAAGAAAACCUCAUUCUUGUUUCUGAUUGUCACUCUCUUCACACUAUCACUUUUAACCACAACCUCCAAAAUGGAACAAUUGAUGCCAUUUCAAGAAAGCUUAAUUUUCAGCAACU
This 561-nucleotide long non-coding RNA is filed under the name Nicotiana benthamiana. RNAcentral describes it as "long non-coding RNA (NBEN_LNC023867)". Lineage: Eukaryota; Viridiplantae; Streptophyta; Magnoliopsida; Solanales; Solanaceae. The record is from RNAcentral.